Molecule: ribosomal RNA, 346 nt
Filed under: uncultured eukaryote
Lineage: Eukaryota
Description: SSU rRNA
Rfam family: Eukaryotic small subunit ribosomal RNA
Source: RNAcentral
AUAGCGUAUAUUAAAGUUGUUGCAGUUAAAAAGCUCGUAGUUGAACCUUGGGCCUGGCUGGCCGGUCCGUCUCAUCGCGUGUACUGGUCCGGCUGGGCCUUUCCUUCUGGCUAGGCACAUGUCCUUUACUGGGUGUGUGUCCGAACCAGGACUUUUACUUUGAAAAAAUUAGAGUGUUCAAAGCAGGCAUAUGCUCGAAUACAUUAGCAUGGAAUAAUAGAAUAGGACGUGUGGUUCUAUUUUGUUGGUUUAUAGAACCGCCGUAAUGAUUAAUAGGGAUAGUCGGGGGCAUCAGUAUUCAAUUGUCAGAGGUGAAAUUCUUGGAUUAAUUGAAGACUAACUACUG